Molecule: ribosomal RNA, 677 nt
Filed under: Halichoeres hortulanus (checkerboard wrasse)
Lineage: Eukaryota; Metazoa; Chordata; Actinopteri; Labriformes; Labridae
Description: partial 12S ribosomal RNA
Rfam family: Bacterial small subunit ribosomal RNA (bases 1-476)
Source: RNAcentral
CCGCCCGGGAACUACGAGCAAUAGCUUAAAACCCAAAGGACUUGGCGGUGCUUUAGAACCACCUAGAGGAGCCUGUUCUAGAACCGAUACUCCCCGUUUAACCUUACCUUUCCUUGCCUUAUCCGCCUAUAUACCACCGUCGUCAGCCUACUCUUUGAGGACCUCACAGUAUGCAAAAUUGGUUGUACCCCAAAACGCCAGGUCGAGGUGUAGCGAAUGGAAAGGGAUAGCAAUGGGCUACAUUCAAUAACCUAUAAUGAAAACGAACGCCAUUCUGAAAAAGAUGGCCGAAGGAGGAUUUAGCAGUAAGCAGAGAACAGAGCGCUCUCCUGAAGCUGGCACUGAAGCGCGUACACACCGCCCGUCACUCUCCCCAAGCUAGGCUACAUAUAUCACUAAUAAAUGAACAAUCGCGGAGGGGAGGCAAGUCGUAACAUGGUAAGUGUACCGGAAGGUGCGCUUGGCAAUAUUUUCAGGGUAUAGCUAAAAACCGUAUAGCAUCUCCCUUACACCGAGAAGUCAUUCGUGCAACCCGGAUUGCCCUGAAGCCCAAUAGCUAGCCCGACCUCUUAAAUACAAACAAAUCCCCAUUAAUAACCCCAUACGCCCUAAGCAAAACAAAACAAAUCAUUUUCCCCUCCUAGUACGGGAGACAGAACGGAGCCCAGGCGCAAUAA